GAUGAACGCUGGCGGCGUGCCUAAUACAUGCAAGUCGAGCGAACGGACGAGAAGCUUGCUUCUCUGAUGUUAGCGGCGGACGGGUGAGUAACACGUGGAUAACCUACCUAUAAGACUGGGAUAACUUCGGGAAACCGGAGCUAAUACCGGUUGAUAUUUUGAACCGCAUGGUUCAACAGUGAAAGACGGUCUUGCUGUCACUUAUAGAUGGAUCCGCGCUGCAUUAGCUAGUUGGUAAGGUAACGGCUUACCAAGGCAACGAUGCAUAGCCGACCUGAGAGGGUGAUCGGCCACACUGGAACUGAGACACGGUCCAGACUCCUACGGGAGGCAGCAGUAGGGAAUCUUCCGCAAUGGGCGAAAGCCUGACGGAGCAACGCCGCGUGAGUGAUGAAGGUCUUCGGAUCGUAAAACUCUGUAAUUAGGGAAGAACAUAAGUGUAAGUAACUGUGCACAUCUUGACGGUACCUAAUCAGAAAGCCACGGCUAACUUCGUG
This 497-nucleotide ribosomal RNA is filed under the name uncultured bacterium. Its description in RNAcentral is "partial 16S ribosomal RNA". It matches the Rfam family "Bacterial small subunit ribosomal RNA", at positions 28 to 507 of the family's 1533-position model. The record is from RNAcentral.